RNAcentral lists this ribosomal RNA (253 nucleotides) under uncultured bacterium. Its description in RNAcentral is "partial 16S ribosomal RNA". It matches the Rfam family "Bacterial small subunit ribosomal RNA", at positions 524 to 776 of the family's 1533-position model. The record is from RNAcentral.
UACGGGGGGGGCAAGCGUUGUUCGGAAUUACUGGGCGUAAAGGGCUCGUAGGCGGCCCACUAAGUCAGACGUGAAAUCCCCAGGCUCAACCUGGGAACUGCGUCUGAUACUGGAUGGCUUGAAUCCGGGAGAGGGAUGCGGAAUUCCAGGUGUAGCGGUGAAAUGCGUAGAUAUCUGGAGGAACACCGGUGGCGAAGGCGGCAUCCUGGACCGGUAUUGACGCUGAGGCGCGAAAGCCAGGGGAGCAAACGGG